This 171-nucleotide ribosomal RNA is filed under the name Enterobacter ludwigii. Its description in RNAcentral is "partial 16S ribosomal RNA". It matches the Rfam family "Bacterial small subunit ribosomal RNA", at positions 334 to 497 of the family's 1533-position model. The record is from RNAcentral. Lineage: Bacteria; Pseudomonadati; Pseudomonadota; Gammaproteobacteria; Enterobacterales; Enterobacteriaceae.
CCUUCCUACGGGAGGCAGCAGUGGGGAAUAUUGCACAAUGGGCGCAAGCCUGAUGCAGCCAUGCCGCGUGUAUGAAGAAGGCCUUCGGGUUGUAAAGUACUUUCAGCGGGGAGGAAGGUGUUAGUUUAAUUUCCGCAGAAAUGACGUAGCCGAAGAAGAAGUCCCUUUGGC